GAAUGCCAAAUAUCUGUGCACUUUC
RNAcentral lists this unclassified non-coding RNA (25 nucleotides) under Mus musculus (house mouse). Its description in RNAcentral is "oocyte_clustered_small_RNA8609". Lineage: Eukaryota; Metazoa; Chordata; Mammalia; Rodentia; Muridae. The record is from RNAcentral.